CACCGGCAGCUCUAGUGGUAGCAGUUUUUAUUGGGCCUAAAGCGUCCGUAGCCGGUUUAAUAAGUCUCUGGUGAAAUCCUGCAGCUUAACUGUGGGAAUUGCUGGAGAUACUAUUAGACUUGAGAUCGGGAGAGGUUAGAGGUACUCCCAGGGUAGAGGUGAAAUUUCUGUAAUCCUGGGAGGACCGCCUGUUUGCGAAGGCGUCUGACUGGAACGAUUCUGACGGUGAGGGACGAAAAGCUAGGGCGCG
Molecule: ribosomal RNA, 250 nt
Filed under: uncultured archaeon
Lineage: Archaea
Description: partial 16S ribosomal RNA
Rfam family: Archaeal small subunit ribosomal RNA
Source: RNAcentral